Molecule: ribosomal RNA, 848 nt
Filed under: uncultured soil bacterium
Lineage: Bacteria
Description: bacterial SSU rRNA
Rfam family: Bacterial small subunit ribosomal RNA
Source: RNAcentral
AGAGUUUGAUCCUGGCUCAGAAUCAACGCUGGCGGCGUGCCUAACACAUGCAAGUCGAACGAGAAAGUGGAGCAAUCCAUGAGUAAAGUGGCGCACGGGUGAGUAACACGUGACUAACCUACCCUGGAGUGGGGGAUAACUGAGGGAAACCUUAGCUAAUACCGCAUAAUACCUACGGGUCAAAGGAGCAAUUCGCUUCAGGAGGGGGUCGCGGCCGAUUAGUUAGUUGGCGGGGUAAUGGCCCACCAAGACAGUGAUCGGUAUCCGGCCUGAGAGGGCGCACGGACACACUGGAACUGAAACACGGUCCAGACUCCUACGGGAGGCAGCAGUGGGGAAUUUUGCGCAAUGGGGGAAACCCUGACGCAGCAACGCCGCGUGGAGGAUGAAGUCCUUCGGGACGUAAACUCCUUUCGAUCGGGACGAUUAUGACGGUACCGGAAGAAGAAGCCCCGGCUAACUUCGUGCCAGCAGCCGCGGUAAUACGAGGGGGGCGAGCGUUGUUCGGAAUUAUUGGGCGUAAAGGGUGCGUAGGCGGUUUGGUAAGUCUUAUGUGAAAUCUAUGGGCUCAACUCAUAGACUGCAUGAGAAACUGCCGGGCUUGAGUAUGGGAGAGGUGAGUGGAAUUCCUGGUGUAGCGGUGAAAUGCGUAGAUAUCAGGAGGAACACCUGUGGCGAAAGCGGCUCACUGGACCAUAACUGACGCUGAUGCACGAAAGCUAGGGGAGCAAACAGGAUUAGAUACCCUGGUAGUCCUAGCCCUAAACGAUGACUGCUUGGUGUGACGGGUACCCAAUCCCGCCGUGCCGUAGCUAACGCGUUAAGCAGUCCGGCCUGGGGAGUACGGU